RNAcentral lists this ribosomal RNA (245 nucleotides) under uncultured bacterium. Its description in RNAcentral is "partial 16S ribosomal RNA". It matches the Rfam family "Bacterial small subunit ribosomal RNA", at positions 563 to 807 of the family's 1533-position model. The record is from RNAcentral.
AAGGGUGCGUAGGUGGCUUUUUAAGUUGGGGGUGAAAAGCUGUGGCUCAACCACGGUCUUGCCUUCAAAACUGGGGAGCUUGAGUGUAUAUGAAGUAGGCGGAAUGCGUAGUGUAGCGGUGAAAUGCAUAGAUAUUACGCAGAACUCCGAUUGCGAAGGCAGCUUACUAAGUUACAACUGACACUGAGGCACGAAAGCGUGGGGAGCAAACAGGAUUAGAUACCCUGGUAGUCCACGCUGUAAAC